ACCCCUAUUUGCCCGCGAUAAUCGUCGGAAAAUACAUUCGAACGACAAUCUGUGCCGCACGAGCGCAAGCUUCGUGCUGCUCGAUGUCCGUGAGGAAUGC
RNAcentral lists this unclassified non-coding RNA (100 nucleotides) under Argostemma yappii. RNAcentral describes it as "partial external transcribed spacer". The record is from RNAcentral. Lineage: Eukaryota; Viridiplantae; Streptophyta; Magnoliopsida; Gentianales; Rubiaceae.